AUUGAACGCUGGCGGAAUGCUUUACACAUGCAAGUCGAACGGCAGCACGGGGCGAACCUGGUGGCGAGUGGCGAACGGGUGAGUAAUACAUCGGAACGUGCCCAAUCGUGGGGGAUAACGUAGCGAAAGUUACGCUAAUACCGCAUACGAUCUACGGAUGAAAGCGGGGGAUCGCAAGACCUCGCGCGAGUGGAGCGGCCGAUGUCAGAUUAGGUAGUUGGUGGGGUAAAGGCUCACCAAGCCAACGAUCUGUAGCUGGUCUGAGAGGACGACCAGCCACACUGGAACUGAGACACGGUCCAGACUCCUACGGGAGGCAGCAGUGGGGAAUUUUGGACAAUGGGCGCAAGCCUGAUCCAGCCAUUCCGCGUGCAGGAUGAAGGCCUUCGGGUUGUAAACUGCUUUUGUACGGAACGAAACGGCGAGCUCUAAUACAGUUUGCUAAUGACGGUACCGUAAGAAUAAGCACCGGCUAACUACGUG
RNAcentral lists this ribosomal RNA (483 nucleotides) under uncultured bacterium. RNAcentral describes it as "bacterial SSU rRNA". It matches the Rfam family "Bacterial small subunit ribosomal RNA", at positions 30 to 507 of the family's 1533-position model. The record is from RNAcentral.